This 253-nucleotide ribosomal RNA is filed under the name uncultured bacterium. RNAcentral describes it as "partial 16S ribosomal RNA". It matches the Rfam family "Bacterial small subunit ribosomal RNA", at positions 524 to 776 of the family's 1533-position model. The record is from RNAcentral.
UACGUAGGGUGCGAGCGUUAAUCGGAAUUACUGGGCGUAAAGCGUGCGCAGGCGGUUUUGUAAGCCAGAUGUGAAAUCCCCGGGCUUAACCUGGGAAUGGCAUUUGGGACUGCAAGGCUUGAGUGCGGCAGAGGAGACUGGAAUUCCUGGUGUAGCAGUGAAAUGCGUAGAUAUCAGGAGGAACACCGGUGGCGAAGGCGGGUCUCUGGGCCGUUACUGACGCUGAGGAGCGAAAGCGUGGGGAGCGAACAGG